UGGUCUAAAGAAAUAUCUGAUUGCAAGUCGGAUGGUGGGUUUGAUAGCCCUUGGGCCU
RNAcentral lists this transfer RNA (58 nucleotides) under Ctenophorus butlerorum. RNAcentral describes it as "Ctenophorus butleri tRNA-Cys". Lineage: Eukaryota; Metazoa; Chordata; Lepidosauria; Squamata; Agamidae. The record is from RNAcentral.